CAAGGAUUAGACACACACGGCAUUUUAACUAGAGAAAGUUGCUCAAUUGAAAUAUUUUUUUUCUUCCUAUUUGUUUAAACACAGAAGACAAUCCAGAGCAGACAAUUUUCGAUCUGCACCAAAAGAAGCUCCUUGGACAUUAGUUUACCGCCAUCUUCCAGCUCCUUUACAUGUGAACAAGGACAACAUCAGGAAGUUUGACCAGCUUAAACACAGAGGUAAUAAAGGACACACUCACACAACACUGGGACUAUGGUGCUUUAUGUUUAAUGUUCUUUUUUGUAUGCCUUCUCUUAGAGAAAUACCAGUGGACAUUCAGCCCAGAGAGACAGCGUCUUGGAGUCUGAUUCCACUUUUAUUGUUCGAAGCUGGUGUGAGUAACAUUGUAAAUAUGCCACCUGCUUCAGCAGAACUGGGACCUGCUCUCCAUCCUGACAGAGCUGUCUGUUUGUGUAAUGCACUGUCCAGGUUUGGGUUUUGUGCUGGGAACAGAAUAUGA
This 499-nucleotide long non-coding RNA is filed under the name Gouania willdenowi (blunt-snouted clingfish). RNAcentral describes it as "lncRNA (ENSGWIG00000017255.1)". Lineage: Eukaryota; Metazoa; Chordata; Actinopteri; Blenniiformes; Gobiesocidae. The record is from RNAcentral.